RNAcentral lists this non-coding RNA (23 nucleotides) under Arabidopsis thaliana (thale cress). The record is from RNAcentral. Lineage: Eukaryota; Viridiplantae; Streptophyta; Magnoliopsida; Brassicales; Brassicaceae.
AGGAAACUAGGUCUGCGAGGAAG